RNAcentral lists this ribosomal RNA (465 nucleotides) under uncultured bacterium. RNAcentral's name for it is "partial 16S ribosomal RNA". It matches the Rfam family "Bacterial small subunit ribosomal RNA", at positions 28 to 507 of the family's 1533-position model. The record is from RNAcentral.
GACGAACGCUGGCGGCGUGCUUAACACAUGCAAGUCGAACGGAAAGGCCCUGCUUGCAGGGUACUCGAGUGGCGAACGGGUGAGUAACACGUGGGUGAUCUGCCCUGCACUUCGGGAUAAGCCUGGGAAACUGGGUCUAAUACCGGAUAGGAGCCAUUUUUAGUGUGAUGGUUGGAAAGUUUUUUCGGUGUAGGAUGAGCUCGCGGCCUAUCAGCUUGUUGGUGGGGUAAUGGCCUACCAAGGCGGCGACGGGUAGCCGGCCUGAGAGGGUGGACGGCCACAUUGGGACUGAGAUACGGCCCAGACUCCUACGGGAGGCAGCAGUGGGGAAUAUUGCACAAGGGGCGCAAGCCGGAUGCAGCGACGCCGCGGGGGGGAUGACGGCCUUCGGGUUGUAAACUCCUUUCGCUAGGGACGAAGCUUUUUGUGACGGUACCUAGAUAAGAAGCACCGGCUAACUACGUG